This 220-nucleotide long non-coding RNA is filed under the name Bos taurus (domestic cattle). RNAcentral describes it as "long non-coding RNA NONBTAT016116". Lineage: Eukaryota; Metazoa; Chordata; Mammalia; Artiodactyla; Bovidae. The record is from RNAcentral.
UGCAGGAGAUUAAAGCAAGCAUAAAAGACUGUGAUCAAGGAAACAAGCCCCAGAUGAAAAGACACUGCCUGAAAACCCUAAGUAAAUACAUGAAUAAAUAAACACAACAUAAAUUAUACCCAUAUGCACUUCAUUCUAUAGUCCAGAAUCUGGUGUUUCUUUCAAACACCCACAUUUGUCAUACUGUCCUUAGGUCACAAAGGGCUCUUUAGGAGAAGGC